UGCAAGUCGAGCGGUAGCACAGAGAGCUUGCUCUCGGGUGACGAGCGGCGGACGGGUGAGUAAUGUCUGGGAAACUGCCUGAUGGAGGGGGAUAACUACUGGAAACGGUAGCUAAUACCGCAUAACGUCGCAAGACCAAAGUGGGGGACCUUCGGGCCUCAUGCCAUCAGAUGUGCCCAGAUGGGAUUAGCUAGUAGGUGGGGUAACGGCUCACCUAGGCGACGAUCCCUAGCUGGUCUGAGAGGAUGACCAGCCACACUGGAACUGAGACACGGUCCAGACUCCUACGGGAGGCAGCAGUGGGGAAUAUUGCACAAUGGGCGCAAGCCUGAUGCAGCCAUGCCGCGUGUGUGAAGAAGGCCUUCGGGUUGUAAAGCACUUUCAGCGGGGAGGAAGGCGAUAAGGUUAAUAACCUUGUCGAUUGACGUUACCCGCAGAAGAAGCACCGGCUAACUCCGUGCCAGCAGCCGCGGUAAUACGGAGGGUGCAAGCGUUAAUCGGAAUUACUGGGCGUAAAGCGCACGCAGGCGGUCUGUCAAGUCGGAUGUGAAAUCCCCGGGCUCAACCUGGGAACUGCAUUCGAAACUGGCAGGCUAGAGUCUUGUAGAGGGGGGUAGAAUUCCAGGUGUAGCGGUGAAAUGCGUAGAGAUCUGGAGGAAUACCGGUGGCGAAGGCGGCCCCCUGGACAAAGACUGACGCUCAGGUGCGAAAGCGUGGGGAGCAAACAGGAUUAGAUACCCUGGUAGUCCACGCCGUAAACGAUGUCGAUUUGGAGGUUGUGCCCUUGAGGCGUGGCUUCCGGAGCUAACGCGUUAAAUCGACCGCCUGGGGAGUACGGCCGCAAGGUUAAAACUCAAAUGAAUUGACGGGGGCCCGCACAAGCGGUGGAGCAUGUGGUUUAAUUCGAUGCAACGCGAAGAACCUUACCUGGUCUUGACAUCCACAGAACUUUCCAGAGAUUGGAUUGGUGCCUUCGGGAACUGUGAGACAGGUGCUGCAUGGCUGUCGUCAGCUCGUGUUGUGAAAUGUUGGGUUAAGUCCCGCAACGAGCGCAACCCUUAUCCUUUGUUGCCAGCGGUUAGGCCGGGAACUCAAAGGAGACUGCCAGUGAUAAACUGGAGGAAGGUGGGGAUGACGUCAAGUCAUCAUGGCCCUUACGACCAGGGCUACACACGUGCUACAAUGGCAUAUACAAAGAGAAGCGACCUCGCGAGAGCAAGCGGACCUCAUAAAGUAUGUCGUAGUCCGGAUUGGAGUCUGCAACUCGACUCCAUGAAGUCGGAAUCGCUAGUAAUCGUAGAUCAGAAUGCUACGGUGAAUACGUUCCCGGGCCUUGUACACACCGCCCGUCACACCAUGGGAGUGGGUUGCAAAAGAAGUAGGUAGC
This 1387-nucleotide ribosomal RNA is filed under the name Klebsiella variicola. Its description in RNAcentral is "bacterial SSU rRNA". It matches the Rfam family "Bacterial small subunit ribosomal RNA", at positions 56 to 1434 of the family's 1533-position model. The record is from RNAcentral. Lineage: Bacteria; Pseudomonadati; Pseudomonadota; Gammaproteobacteria; Enterobacterales; Enterobacteriaceae.